AGAGUUUGAUCAUGGCUCAGGACGAACGCUGGCGGCGUGCUUAACACAUGCAAGUCACGGGGGCCCGCAAGGGCAACCGGCGAACGGGUGCGUAACACGUGAACAACCUGCCCUCGUGUGGGGGAUAGCCGGGCUAACGCCCGGGUAAUACCGCAUACGUUCUCGCUGGGGAGUCCUGGCGAGAGGAAAGCUCCGGCGCACGGGGAGGGGUUCGCGGCCUAUCAGCUAGUUGGCGGGGUAAUGGCCCACCAAGGCGACGACGGGUAGCUGGUCUGAGAGGAUGGCCAGCCACAUUGGGACUGAGAGACGGCCCAGACUCCUACGGGAGGCAGCAGUGGGGAAUCUUGCGCAAUGGCCGAAAGGCUGACGCAGCGACGCCGCGUGUGGGAGGACGCCUUUCGGGGUGUAAACCACUGUUGCCCGGGACGAACGAGCGCUUUCGAGCGCUGUGACGGUACCGGGUGAGGAAGCACCGGCUAACUCCGUGCCAGCAGCCGCGGUAAUAC
This 506-nucleotide ribosomal RNA is filed under the name uncultured bacterium. Its description in RNAcentral is "bacterial SSU rRNA". It matches the Rfam family "Bacterial small subunit ribosomal RNA", at positions 8 to 526 of the family's 1533-position model. The record is from RNAcentral.